RNAcentral lists this ribosomal RNA (497 nucleotides) under uncultured bacterium. RNAcentral's name for it is "partial 16S ribosomal RNA". It matches the Rfam family "Bacterial small subunit ribosomal RNA", at positions 28 to 507 of the family's 1533-position model. The record is from RNAcentral.
GAUGAACGCUGGCGGCGUGCCUAAUACAUGCAAGUCGAGCGAACAGACGAGGAGCUUGCUCCUCUGACGUUAGCGGCGGACGGGUGAGUAACACGUGGAUAACCUACCUAUAAGACUGGGAUAACUUCGGGAAACCGGAGCUAAUACCGGAUAAUAUAUUGAACCGCAUGGUUCAAUAGUGAAAGACGGUUUUGCUGUCACUUAUAGAUGGAUCCGCGCCGCAUUAGCUAGUUGGUAAGGUAACGGCUUACCAAGGCGACGAUGCGUAGCCGACCUGAGAGGGUGGUCGGCCACCCUGGAACUGAGACACGGUCCAGACUCCUACGGGAGGCAGCAGUAGGGAAUCUUCCGCAAUGGGCGAAAGCCUGACGGAGCAACGCCGCGUGAGUGAUGAAGGUCUUCGGAUCGUAAAACUCUGUAAUUAGGGAAGAACAAAUGUGUAAGUAACUAUGCCCGUCUUGACGGUACCUAAUCAGAAAGCCCCGGCUAACUACGUG